CGCGUAGGCGGGUCGUUAAGUCAGAGGUGAAAUGCCAAGGCUCAACCUUGGAACUGCCUUUGAUACUGGCGACCUGGAGUUCGGGAGAGGUGAGUGGAAUUCCGAGUGUAGAGGUGAAAUUCGUAGAUAUUCGGAGGAACACCAGAAGCGAAGGCGGCUCACUGGCCCGAUACUGACGCUGAGGCGCGAAAGCGUGGGGAGCAAACA
RNAcentral lists this ribosomal RNA (207 nucleotides) under uncultured bacterium. RNAcentral describes it as "partial 16S ribosomal RNA". It matches the Rfam family "Bacterial small subunit ribosomal RNA", at positions 568 to 774 of the family's 1533-position model. The record is from RNAcentral.